This 495-nucleotide ribosomal RNA is filed under the name uncultured bacterium. RNAcentral describes it as "partial 16S ribosomal RNA". It matches the Rfam family "Bacterial small subunit ribosomal RNA", at positions 30 to 507 of the family's 1533-position model. The record is from RNAcentral.
UGAACGCUGGCGGCGUGCCUAAUACAUGCACGUCGAGCGAACAGACGAGGAGCUUGCUCCUCUGACGUUAGCGGCGGACGGGUGAGUAACACGUGGAUAACCUACCUAUAAGACUGGGAUAACUUCGGGAAACCGGAGCUAAUACCGGAUAAUAUAUUGAACCGCAUGGUUCAAUAGUGAAAGACGGUUUUGCUGUCACUUAUAGAUGGAUCCGCGCCGCAUUAGCUAGUUGGUAAGGUAACGGCUUACCAAGGCGACGAUGCGUAGCCGACCUGAGAGGGUGAUCGGCCACACUGGAACUGAGACACGGUCCAGACUCCUACGGGAGGCAGCAGUAGGGAAUCUUCCGCAAUGGGCGAAAGCUUGACGGAGCAACGCCGCGUGAGUGAUGAAGGUCUUCGGAUCGUAAAACUCUGUUAUUAGGGAAGAACAAAUGUGUAAGUAACUAUGCACGUCUUGACGGUACCUAAUCAGAAAGCCACGGCUAACUACGUG